CAGUAGCCACGGUAAUACGAAGGGUGCAAGCGUUAAUCGGAAUUACUGGGCGUAAAGCGUGCGUAGGCGGUUUGUUAAGUCUGCUGUGAAAUCCCCGGGCUCAACCUGGGAAUGGCAGUGGAUACUGGCAAGCUAGAGUGUGUCAGAGGAUGGUGGAAUUCCCGGUGUAGCGGUGAAAUGCGUAGAGAUCGGGAGGAACAUCAGUGGCGAAGGCGGCCAUCUGGGCCAACACUGACACUGAGGCACGAAAGCGUGGGGAGCAAACAGGAUUAGAGACCCCCGUAGUCCCUGUCUCUUAUAC
RNAcentral lists this ribosomal RNA (301 nucleotides) under uncultured bacterium. RNAcentral's name for it is "partial 16S ribosomal RNA". It matches the Rfam family "Bacterial small subunit ribosomal RNA", at positions 509 to 807 of the family's 1533-position model. The record is from RNAcentral.